Molecule: ribosomal RNA, 198 nt
Filed under: uncultured bacterium
Lineage: Bacteria
Description: partial 16S ribosomal RNA
Rfam family: Bacterial small subunit ribosomal RNA
Source: RNAcentral
ACGCUCGACACCUACGGAAGGCAGCAGUGGGGAAUAUUGCACAAUGGGGGAAACCCUGAUGCAGCGACGCCGCGUGAGCGAAGAAGUAUUUCGGUAUGUAAAGCUCUAUCAGCAGGGAAGAAAUUGACGGUACCUGACUAAGAAGCACCGGCUAAAUACGUGCCAACAGCCGCGGUAAUCUGAGCGGGCUGGCAAGGC